AGCAUGUGGUUUAAUUCGAUGCAACGCGAAGAACCUUACCUGGUCUUGACAUCCACAGAACUUUCCAGAGAUGGAUUGGUGCCUUCGGGAACUGUGAGACAGGUGCUGCAUGGCUGUCGUCAGCUCGUGUUGUGAAAUGUUGGGUUAAGUCCCGCAACGAGCGCAACCCUUAUCCUUUGUUGCCAGCGGUCCGGCCGGGAACUCAAAGGAGACUGCCAGUGAUAAACUGGAGGAAGGUGGGGAUGACGUCAAGUCAUCAUGGCCCUUACGACCAGGGCUACACACGUGCUACAAUGGCAUAUACAAAGAGAAGCGACCUCGCGAGAGCAAGCGGACCUCAUAAAGUAUGUCGUAGUCCGGAUUGGAGUCUGCAACUCGACUCCAUGAAGUCGGAAUCGCUAGUAAUCGUAGAUCAGAAUGCUACGGUGAAUACGUUCCCGGGCCUUGUACACACCGCCCGUCACACCAUGGGAGUGGGUUGCAAAAGAAGUAGGUAGCUUAACCUUCGGGAGGGCGCUUACCACUUUGUGAUUCAUGACUGGGGUGAAGUCGUAACAAGGUAACCGUAGGGGAACCUGCGGUUGGAUCACCUCCUUACCUUAAAGAA
This 607-nucleotide ribosomal RNA is filed under the name Klebsiella pneumoniae. RNAcentral's name for it is "bacterial SSU rRNA". It matches the Rfam family "Bacterial small subunit ribosomal RNA", at positions 936 to 1533 of the family's 1533-position model. Lineage: Bacteria; Pseudomonadati; Pseudomonadota; Gammaproteobacteria; Enterobacterales; Enterobacteriaceae. The record is from RNAcentral.